This 912-nucleotide small RNA is filed under the name Pan troglodytes (chimpanzee). RNAcentral's name for it is "processed transcript". The record is from RNAcentral. Lineage: Eukaryota; Metazoa; Chordata; Mammalia; Primates; Hominidae.
AAAAUUGCACAUGGAACAGCUGGCUCUCGAGCAGGCAUGCCUCAGCUUCCUCUGGAGUAUGCUUUUUCUGCAAGUCUGGUGUCCUCGAGGGUACCACCAACCCUGUGCGGCUCCAAGACUACAGAUUAUGUAGCAAGUCCACUGGUCCUGCUCUUCCGGAUUUAUUCUUCCCGCCAAUAGGAGCACUUACCACGUUCCAAGCAUCGUCCUAGGCACUGAGGAUACAGCAGUGAAUAAAGUUGAGUGCCGGGUAGGAAGUCAAUAACCAAGCUAGUAAAUAACUGUAUAUUGUCAAGCACUGGCAUUAAAGACUAUUCCAACUGGCCCACCAUCCCGCAAGUGUACCUCAAUGGCGAGUUUGUAGGGGGCUGUGACAUUCUUCUGCAGAUGCACCAGAAUGGGGACUUGGUGGAAGAACUGAAAAAGCUGGGGAUCCACUCCGCCCUUUUAGAUGAAAAGAAAGACCAAGACUCCAAGUGAGGGCGGCCAAGUCCUCGCCGAGCAGAGAGGGAGCUGUUCAUGUCAGAGACUCACUGCCAGAAAAGCCUUACCCAUUUUGGUUUUCACUAUUGAGACCGCAACUGCUUGCACUGAUCAUUUUGGUUCGUGAGCAGUUGGUGAUUUUAGUUGGUCUGGUGUUCGAGCUAAGAAUAUUUUAUUGUGGACUUAAUUACAACCACUGCACUGUAAUGAUUCAAUGCUGUAUUAUGAUAUUGCUGUAAACAAAAUUCAUUCUUAUAUUGUCACUUAUUCUUUGCCUGAUUCAGAAGUUAAAUAGGAGCUUUGGAAUCAUUAUUCAUGACCCCUCUGCAAAUGUGACAGUCUCCAAAGACAGUAUCUCCCCCCAAAUUUUGUGUAGCUUCUUUUGUUAUGGAAAAUGGUGGACAAAAAAAGAAACUGUGAUAACUGGGG